UUUUGUCUAUCACUCUUUGCUUAUCCCCUUUGUUUUAAGAAAGACAAAAUGAUUCGGCAUAUAUUCUUAAUCAAUUUAGAUGCCACCCAUCAAAACCAGGCCACCAAUAUAAUAAAGUGUUUUUAAUAGGAAACAAAGAGAGUUUGAAGGUGGAGCGGGAAGUCGGGUAUGAUGAUCUUUACGACCAAGUCUUGGAGUUCUACCGUAGUAAAUACUGCAGAAAGGUGAUGAAGUUAGUAGAUAUAGGAGGAGGUAGGUUUUUAUACUAGAUCUAUUAAAGUUUCAUUCUUACCAAUUCAUCAUGUUGUAUAUUUAAAAUUAUCAUAUUUAGUACAUAAUGAACAUAUAUAUUGUCCUUA
This is a long non-coding RNA of Lathyrus oleraceus (garden pea), 359 nucleotides long. RefSeq lists it as uncharacterized. The transcript has 2 exons. The record is from RefSeq and is a predicted model, not a curated record. Lineage: Eukaryota; Viridiplantae; Streptophyta; Magnoliopsida; Fabales; Fabaceae.